Molecule: ribosomal RNA, 119 nt
Filed under: Phaseolus vulgaris (common bean)
Lineage: Eukaryota; Viridiplantae; Streptophyta; Magnoliopsida; Fabales; Fabaceae
Source: RNAcentral
AGGUGCGAUCAUACCAGCACUAAUGCACCGGAUCCCAUCAGAACUCCGCAGGUAAGCGUGCUUGGGCGAGAGUAGUACUAUGAUGGGUGACCUCCUGGGAAGUCCUCGUGUUGCACUUC